GAGUUUGAUCCUGGCUCAGAACGAACGCUGGCGGCAUGCCUAACACAUGCAAGUCGAACGAACUCUUCGGAGUUAGUGGCGCACGGGUGCGUAACGCGUGGGAAUCUGCCCUUGGGUACGGAAUAACUCAGAGAAAUUUGUGCUAAUACCGUAUAAUGACUUCGGUCCAAAGAUUUAUCGCCCAAGGAUGAGCCCGCGUAAGAUUAGCUAGUUGGUGGGGUAAAGGCCUACCAAGGCUACGAUCUUUAGCUGGUCUGAGAGGAAGAUCAGCCACACUGGGACUGAGACACGGCCCAGACUCCUACGGGAGGCAGCAGUGGGGAAUAUUGGACAAUGGGCGAAAGCCUGAUCCAGCAAUGCCGCGUGAGUGAUGAAGGCCUUAGGGUUGUAAAGCUCUUUACCCGGGAUGAUAAUGACAGUACCGGGAGAAUAAGCUCCGGCUAACUCCGUGCCAGCCGCCGCCGUAAG
RNAcentral lists this ribosomal RNA (468 nucleotides) under uncultured microorganism. RNAcentral describes it as "bacterial SSU rRNA". It matches the Rfam family "Bacterial small subunit ribosomal RNA", at positions 9 to 524 of the family's 1533-position model. The record is from RNAcentral.